Molecule: ribosomal RNA, 253 nt
Filed under: uncultured bacterium
Lineage: Bacteria
Description: partial 16S ribosomal RNA
Rfam family: Bacterial small subunit ribosomal RNA
Source: RNAcentral
UACGAAGGGAGCUAGCGUUGUUCGGAAUUACUGGGCGUAAAGGGCGCGUAGGCGGUUAAACAAGUCAGGCGUGAAAGCCCCGGGCUCAACCCGGGAACUGCGCUUGAGACUGUUUUCCUAGAGUACGGUAGAGGUAAGUGGAAUUCCCAGUGUAGCAGUGAAAUGCGUAGAUAUUGGGAGGAACACCAGUGGCGAAGGCGGCUUACUGGACCGUAACUGACGCUGAGGCGCGAAAGCGUGGGGAGCAAACAGG